This 168-nucleotide ribosomal RNA is filed under the name uncultured bacterium. Its description in RNAcentral is "partial 16S ribosomal RNA". It matches the Rfam family "Bacterial small subunit ribosomal RNA", at positions 1334 to 1500 of the family's 1533-position model. The record is from RNAcentral.
GCUAGUAAUGGCAGGUCAGCAUACUGCCGUGAAUACGUUCCCGGGCCUUGUACACACCGCCCGUCACACCAUGAGAGUUGGGAAUACCCGAAGCCUGUGAGCUAACAUUUAUGAGGCAGCAGUCGAAGGUAGAAUCAAUGAUUGGGGGUGAAGUCGUAACAAGGUACC